RNAcentral lists this ribosomal RNA (279 nucleotides) under Pseudo-nitzschia fraudulenta. RNAcentral's name for it is "5.8S ribosomal RNA". Lineage: Eukaryota; Bacillariophyta; Bacillariophyceae; Bacillariales; Bacillariaceae. The record is from RNAcentral.
CCCACUCAGCGCUGGUCUACUCUGUAGGCCCAGUUGCUGGUUGCUAUGGCUCUGACCGCUCUAGUAGCGGUCUCUGCUUAAAUUCUACAACAUUGUACCGUGCAUAGAUCUAGAAAAGUCUUGUGUUGUCUGAAUGACGGCGUUGACGCUCUUGUCUAUCUCUGGUAGCUUGUAUGAAAAUGCAUUCUCUGGAGUUUAACUAGGGGUGUCUAUUAGCUGUCUGCCAAACUAUCGAGUUUUUCUCUGGGUCUGGCCACGCAGCUGUGUAAAAGCAGUCUG